Molecule: long non-coding RNA, 3199 nt
Filed under: Homo sapiens (human)
Lineage: Eukaryota; Metazoa; Chordata; Mammalia; Primates; Hominidae
Description: HSALNT0108604
Source: RNAcentral
CUCCAGCCGGCCUGCGCACUGGGAGGAGUGCGCACUGGGGUGGAGCCACAGAAGUUCGUGCCUUUUGCAGUGGGGAGGAGCCUGGCCCUUCCUCUUCCUGGGUGUUACCUGGAAUUCAAUCUGCCAGGUGGGAAGCAUGUACUAACGAGACUCUCAGUCUUCCUUUGUGGAGAGUCCCUGUUUCCUUUUCUUUUCCCUUUUCACCCAAUAAAUUCCUUUUUUCUCCCCUUUUAAAUUAUAUGUGAGCCUUUUUUCAUGAUCAUGUGACGAGGACCCUGUCUUUAGCUGAGCUACGGAGAGAGUCCUGCAACACCUUCACGUAGACAUUCUUUCUCUCAGGAACUCAGGAAUGAAAGCUUUGUGGGAACAUCACUUCACAAUCAUUGAAGAAGUGGGAAAGAAACUCUGGAAGUUUCUAGUUGGCAAUUAAGUGCUCUGGCCACACUUCACUUCUGCUCACAACUCAUUGGUCAGAACUAGUCACAAGGCACCAUCCCACCACAAGAAUGCCAGAAAAGUUCAUAGUUCCAUCUGUACAAAAGGAGAAUGGAGCUAUUCUGGAGAGAGAAUGGCAGUGGAUUAAAAGUUCUGAACCUGCCUGGGUCUCAAUCACAGAAACCUGAAACAGCCAUUGGACCCCCAUUGCUAAUCCCUGUGCAGUCUGUAGUCACACCUGGAGUGUCAGCUUUUAUAGGUGGAGGGAAGGAAUGCUAUCCAUGAUGAUGCAAAGCUGCAAACCCCUCAUGAAUCCAUUGUUGGAUCUAUUGCGUCUUCUAAAGGAAGCCUACAGCUGUGCUGUUCAAUAUGGUAUCCACUGGAUAUAAGGGGCAAUGGCCACAUAAAAUUUGGCUACUAAGACUAAAGAAAUAAAUUUUUAAAUUUUAUUUAAUAUUAAUUAAAUUAAAAUUUUAAUAGCCACAUGUGACUAGCGGCUAUAAUAUUGGUAAGUGCAAUCCUACACAAUAGAAAAGAAAGAAUUCUAGUUCCUAGGAAAUCAUUUUUGGCUUUUUAGUGCCUGAAAUUUUUGGCAGUAGAUUGCUGUAUCCCAGUCGGGCUCUUAGAUUUUUCCAGACUAAACAGGUUAAUGUAGAUGAAAGUUUAAGCACAGUCUGUGACAGUGAAGUGGUAUGUAUGCUCACUCAAUUACUUUACUACCAGGGUUGUUAAUGUUACUACACAGACAUCUUUCCUUCCAAAUUCCCUGGCUUUCUAAGAAGUUCACCCACAAUUCUGCAUGUUGGAGAGCAGCUUUGGUGUGAGUUUCUCAUUGCUCUUGGCUCCACUUCACAUUCGACUUCUUUCAGGUAAUGCCUCCCCUGAGUUACCCAUUUGAGUAGAGAGGGGGGCCAGGAUUGCAACCAUAUCCCAUAUCUUUCAUUCAGUCUCUAGAGAUUCAAGGGCUAUGUAAACAGGAUUUCCAUUCAUACUGAAAAUGACUAGGAGAUAAAGCCACAGGCACACAUCACAAAGAAAUAAAGCUGAAUAAAGACGGACAAGUAAUAGAAGCCUAAAGAGUCAACCAAGCUAUUGAAUAAAAUAUAUUCACUAAUCCUGGAGAAAAUACAUGUUUAACAUUCUAAGUUAGAAGACAUGAAGGUAAAAAAUUUGACCAAGGAAUGUGUGAAUCAAUCAGAUUUUACUGGCGCAAGGAAUGUUUUGAAGAGUCAUUUCAACAUCUUAUGUAAUAAUGAAAUGUAUCCAGAGAGAAUAAAGGAGUUGACUCAGAUCACAUGUGUAUGGAAAGAGCUCUGGUCUAUACUGUGGGUCAAAAACGACUAGGCCAGUGGUUUUAAUUGAUACAACAUUUCAUACUUCUUUAAUACUCUGUAGAGAAUGCCACUUACUGUUGUUUCUGAAGUGACCUGAAGGACAGUUGAGAGCCAACCUAAUGUAGGAAUGUCUCUUGUCUCUUUUCCCAGCACGCUCUCCAGAAGGGAAAAUCCCCAAACAAGUCUUCAAAUAUGAGCUUUUCAGCUAUCCAUGAUAGCCUAUAAUUUCAAGCUUUUUAAGGUCAUUCUGGGAGAGAUGUUUAAGAUGAGAGAGUUCUUUUUCCUUUUGAAAAAAGAAACCUCUGGUUUUCCAAACAUUUCAUAAACCUCUGGAAUUCUUUGGAGUGAGCCAGAAGUGGAAAAAGUAACUGAAACUGCUUGGGAAAAAUUAGUAGUAGCUGUUGAAAAGAGCAUUUAUCAGUAAUCCAGACAUCGAAGACAUUUAGACUUUGUUGAACAGGCAGUUUGUGGUGAGAAAUGACUGGUUUAGGGGCAUUGCUAGUCAGGCAACCUGGGCUAGAACUGGCUGGGUUGUGUUGGUUUCCUAGGGCUGUUGUAAUCAAGUACUGCAAAGGAGGUGCCUUAAAACAGUGUAAAUUUAUUAUUUCACAGUUCUGGAGGCUAUAAGUCCAAACCAAGUUUUCUGCAGGGCCAUGCUUUCUCUGAAGGCUGUAGAGGAGAAUCUGUUCCAUGUCUUUCUCUUAGCUUCUGGUAUUGCUGGUAAUCCUUGGUGUUCCCUGGCUUGUAAAUAUGUACAUCAAUCUCAACCUCUGUUACCUGACAUUCUGUCCCACAGUGGUUUCCUCUCCUCUUCAACAUGUGUCAGUCUUAUGCAAAUGUACUCACGCACACAGUGACAUCUAGUGGGUCUGGACAUAGACAGUUGAAUCCUCUUGAAUGCUGGAAUCCCUUUAUGGUUUGACUAUCUCUUUAUUUGAGGAUCAUAAGUCUAUGUGUUUCCAAGGAAUUUUGCUGACACUAUGCAGCUAUCAGCAUGAAAUGAGGCUCAAGUUUAUUAGUAGCUCUGUGAACGUAAUAGAUGGAAACUAUAUUUGACCUGUUUUUUUUUUCUUGGAAAGCCAAUAAAAUUUCACACAAGCCAGGAUGGAACAUGAGACACAAGGCAUUUCCUCCACAUUAGUAUCUUUAAGCCAUAAGAGAGGCAAAGUAUCAUCUGAAAGAGACUUCACAUAUUUGUGUAUAAAGUUUUCUUCAUUAAAUGUGACUCUUAAAUGGAAAAACAAAGAUAUGUUUUACACAGAGUCCCCUUCAACUUUUCUUUGGUCACCCUCUUCCUCCCCGACUGACAGCUUUGUUUUCAUUCGUUGAGAGGUCUUUCUCUUAUCCACAGUGGACGGAUCAUGUUUUCAAGAGCUUCUGCAUAUACAGUCACAAUAAUAGGGAAGUUUAUUGAGAUGUUCAAGUAUGGU